AUUGAACGCUGGCGGCAGGCCUAACACAUGCAAGUCGAGCGGAUGAAGGGAGCUUGCUCCUGGAUUCAGCGGCGGACGGGUGAGUAAUGCCUAGGAAUCUGCCUGGUAGUGGGGGAUAACGUCCGGAAACGGGCGCUAAUACCGCAUACGUCCUGAGGGAGAAAGUGGGGGAUCUUCGGACCUCACGCUAUCAGAUGAGCCUAGGUCGGAUUAGCUAGUUGGUGGGGUAAAGGCCUACCAAGGCGACGAUCCGUAACUGGUCUGAGAGGAUGAUCAGUCACACUGGAACUGAGACACGGUUCAGACUCCUACGGGAGGCAGCAGUGGGGAAUAUUGGACAAUGGGCGAAAGCCUGAUCCAGCCAUGCCGCGUGUGUGAAGAAGGUCUUCGGAUCGUAAAGCACUUUAAGUUGGGAGGAAGGGCAGUAAGUUAAUACCUUGCUGUUUUGACGUUACCAACAGAAUAAGCACCGGCUAACUUCGUG
This 484-nucleotide ribosomal RNA is filed under the name uncultured bacterium. RNAcentral's name for it is "partial 16S ribosomal RNA". It matches the Rfam family "Bacterial small subunit ribosomal RNA", at positions 30 to 507 of the family's 1533-position model. The record is from RNAcentral.